Molecule: ribosomal RNA, 253 nt
Filed under: uncultured bacterium
Lineage: Bacteria
Description: partial 16S ribosomal RNA
Rfam family: Bacterial small subunit ribosomal RNA
Source: RNAcentral
UACGUAGGGGGCAAGCGUUAUCCGGAUUUACUGGGUGUAAAGGGAGCGUAGACGGCAGGGCAAGUCUGGAGUGAAAGGCAGGGGCCCAACCCCUGGACUGCCCUGGAAACUGUCCGGCUGGAGUGCAGGAGAGGUAAGUGGAAUUCCUAGUGUAGCGGUGAAAUGCGUAGAUAUUAGGAGGAACACCAGUGGCGAAGGCGGCUUACUGGACUGUAACUGACGUUGAGGCUCGAAAGCGUGGGGAGCAGACAGG